AGUUUCCGAUGCCAUUCCUCUCCAGAGAGAGUGGAGCUUUGCUCGGACAAAUGCGGUGCUCGCCUUGCUCUACCGCAAAUUGUUUGUGCCCUUCAAGCCGGAGGAGUUGGUCCGCCAUUUGCAGCACGUCCUGGAGACGAGCGAAGUCAACUGGCAUCACGUCCUCUCCUGCGUUUCCACGCUGCUGGUCUGCCAGUCGGGAGCCGCACCACUGAUUAAAGACUUCCUGAGCCAUCUGCUGAAGAAAGGCUUUGAGGACUAUGACUUGGAAAGCAUGAUGACGGCGUUCCUGAUCGCGCGCCAGGCUGGCCUGGAGGGUCCUGCCGUUUUCAUGCCUUACGCAGAAUGGUUUAAGGUAAGAGCCUAAGAUAGAUCAUGAGUUCUGACAUUAAAUUGCCUCAUUUAUGGUCCUAACCAUACAGGUUUGCAUUGGCGGACCCAAAGAGACAUCUCAGGAAUUUGCUAUGUCCUCUGCCACAAUUACCCAUUGAAUUUUGACUUGUGAGUUUUAACCUGCUUUAUACUAGUGUGGUCUUGUGAGUAUUUUUUUUUUGGCCCAGUUCCUUUUAGGAGCCAAUCCUGGAUUUUACUAAAGUAUGACUAUUUUACCGUGUUUCCCCGAAAAUAAGACAGUGUCUUAUAUUAUUUUUUACUCCCAAAGAUGCGCUAGGUCUUAUUUUCAGGGGAUGUCUUAUUUUUCUAUGAAGAAGAAUUCAUAUCCAUUGUUGAACAAAAAAAAAUGAACAUUUAUUCUAUACUGUACAGAAGUUGUCAUCACAAACCAACAUAACUAAACCAGACAAACUGUGACCCCUGUCAAGAAUUUCUUGUUACUACCAUUAUUUACAUAUACAACUGGUAUGUAAGCCGCCCCAAGUCCCUCUGGGGAGAUGGAGGCGGGGUAUAAAAAUAAAAUAAUAAUAAUUAUUAUUAUUUUAUUUUAUUGUAUGACGCAGCAAACAAGAUAGAUAUGCUGGAUUUCGUAUCACAAAAUCACAAGUCAAACACUUCCCAAG
Molecule: long non-coding RNA, 1016 nt
Organism: Anolis carolinensis (green anole)
Lineage: Eukaryota; Metazoa; Chordata; Lepidosauria; Squamata; Anolidae
Exons: 3
Source: RefSeq, a predicted model, not a curated record